AGGCGAAGGGGUGACCUGGAGCGAAACCCAAAAAUACAGUCUCAGUUCGGAUUGAAGUCUGCAACUCGACUUCAUGAAGUCGGAAUCGCUAGUAAUCGCGGAUCAGAACGCCGCGGUGAAUACGUUCUCGGGGUUU
Molecule: ribosomal RNA, 136 nt
Filed under: uncultured Acholeplasma sp.
Lineage: Bacteria; Bacillati; Mycoplasmatota; Mollicutes; Acholeplasmatales; Acholeplasmataceae
Description: partial 16S ribosomal RNA
Rfam family: Bacterial small subunit ribosomal RNA
Source: RNAcentral